This 468-nucleotide ribosomal RNA is filed under the name uncultured bacterium. Its description in RNAcentral is "partial 16S ribosomal RNA". It matches the Rfam family "Bacterial small subunit ribosomal RNA", at positions 28 to 507 of the family's 1533-position model. The record is from RNAcentral.
GACGAACGCUGGCGGCGUGCUUAACACAUGCAAGUCGAACGGAAAGGCCCUGCUUUUGUGGGGUGCUCGAGUGGCGAACGGGUGAGUAACACGUGAGUAACCUGCCCUUGACUUUGGGAUAACUUCAGGAAACUGGGGCUAAUACCGGAUAGGAGCUCCUGCUGCAUGGUGGGGGUUGGAAAGUUUCGGCGGUGGGGGAUGGACUCGCGGCUUAUCAGCUUGUUGGUGGGGUAGUGGCUUACCAAGGCUUUGACGGGUAGCCGGCCUGAGAGGGUGACCGGCCACAUUGGGACUGAGAUACGGCCCAGACUCCUACGGGAGGCAGCAGUGGGGAAUAUUGCACAAUGGGCGGAAGCCUGAUGCAGCAACGCCGCGUGCGGGAUGACGGCCUUCGGGUUGUAAACCGCUUUCGCCUGUGACGAAGCGUGAGUGACGGUAAUGGGUAAAGAAGCACCGGCCAACUACGUG